GAUGAACGCUGGCGGCGUGCCUAAUACAUGCAAGUCGAGCGAACGGACGAGAAGCUUGCUGCUCUGAAGUUAGCGGCGGCCGGGUGAGUAAUACGCGGUUAAUCUAAAUAUCAGACUGGGAUUAGUUCGGGUAACCGGUGCUAAUACCGGAUAAUAUUUUGGACCGCAUGGUUCCAACGUGCAAGACGGUCUUGCUGUCACUUAUAGAUGGCUCCGCGCUGCAUUAGCUAGUUGGUAGGGUAACGGCUUACCAAGGCAACGAUGCAUAGCCGACCUGAGAGCGUGGUCCACCACACGGUAACUGAGACACGUUCCAGACUCCUACGGUAAGCAGCAGCAGAGAAUCUUCCGCAAUGGGCGAGAGCCGGACGGAGCAACGCCGCCGCAAGGAUGAUGGUCUUCGGAUCGUAAAGCGCUGUUAUUAUGGGAGAACAAAUGUGUAAGUAACUGUGCACAUCUUGACGGUACCUAAGCAAAAAGCCACGGCUAACUACGUG
Molecule: ribosomal RNA, 497 nt
Filed under: uncultured bacterium
Lineage: Bacteria
Description: partial 16S ribosomal RNA
Rfam family: Bacterial small subunit ribosomal RNA
Source: RNAcentral